RNAcentral lists this ribosomal RNA (253 nucleotides) under uncultured bacterium. Its description in RNAcentral is "partial 16S ribosomal RNA". It matches the Rfam family "Bacterial small subunit ribosomal RNA", at positions 524 to 776 of the family's 1533-position model. The record is from RNAcentral.
UACGUAGGCAGCGAGCGUUGUUCGGAGUUACUGGGCGUAAAGGGUGUGUAGGCGGUUCUUUAAGUUUGGUGUGAAGUCUCCCGGCUCAACCGGGAGGGUGCGCCGAAUACUGAGGGACUAGAGUACGGGAGAGGAAAGUGGAAUUCCUGGUGUGGCGGUGAAAUGCGUAGAGAUCGGGAGGAACACCAGAGGCGAAGGCGGCGACCUGGACAAGUACUGACACUCAACUGCGAAAGCGUGGGGAGCAAACAGG